Non-coding RNA from Paramuricea clavata, 410 nucleotides. Lineage: Eukaryota; Metazoa; Cnidaria; Anthozoa; Malacalcyonacea; Plexauridae. The record is from the annotation of a GenBank genome assembly.
CCCCCUCUCAAUAAUUUAACUAAUUUAACAUUGUCAUAGGCCUUUCAGCAAAAAGAAAGUCUAUAUGUUUGUGACAGUUAACAACCAUGUGUAUAAAAAGCACACCCUCUCAAAUAAAUCCCCAUGAUAAUCUACUGUUCUUUAUGAAAACCUAAUGUACGUAGUACAUCGAAUAUAGAGUCUGGAUAUAAAAUCAUCCAAUAAUUAUGCGCACUAUACAAAUAUUUCCCUCCCUUUUCAUCUUAACCCAUUAAGCACCAGCGCUCUCCCCUCGACGAGUAAAAUCGUCUGGCAUUAGACAGAGUAAAAUGCUAAAGUAGGCUGCAUCAGGGUGCAUUGCCACUCAAUGGGUUAACUAGACACAUGGGCAGAUAGGCCAGUUAACCCAUUAAGCGCCAGCGCUCUCCCCU